UGCAGUAAUGUUAAGGGUGUGUUCAAG
RNAcentral lists this non-coding RNA (27 nucleotides) under Rattus norvegicus (Norway rat). Lineage: Eukaryota; Metazoa; Chordata; Mammalia; Rodentia; Muridae. The record is from RNAcentral.